RNAcentral lists this ribosomal RNA (468 nucleotides) under uncultured bacterium. Its description in RNAcentral is "partial 16S ribosomal RNA". It matches the Rfam family "Bacterial small subunit ribosomal RNA", at positions 28 to 507 of the family's 1533-position model. The record is from RNAcentral.
GACGAACGCUGGCGGCGUGCUUAACACAUGCAAGUCGAACGGAAGGGCCCUGCUUUUGUGGGGUGCUCGAGUGGCGAACGGGUGAGUAACACGUGAGUAACCUGCCCUUGACUUUGGGAUAACUUCAGGAAGCUGGGGCUAAUACCGGAUAGGAGCUCCUGCUGCAUGGUGGGGGUUGGAAAGUUUCGGCGGUUGGGGAUGGACUCGCGGCUUAUCAGCUUGUUGGUGGGGUAGUGGCUUACCAAGGCUUUGACGGGUAGCCGGCCUGAGAGGGUGACCGGCCACAUUGGGACUGAGAUACGGCCCAGACUCCUACGGGAGGCAGCAGUGGGGAAUAUUGCACAAUGGGCGGAAGCCUGAUGCAGCAACGCCGCGUGCGGGAUGACGGCCUUCGGGCUGUAAACCGCUUUCGCCUGUGACGAAGCGUGAGUGACGGUAAUGGGUAAAGAAGCACCGGCUAACUACGUG